This 427-nucleotide ribosomal RNA is filed under the name uncultured Thermomonas sp. RNAcentral's name for it is "bacterial SSU rRNA". It matches the Rfam family "Bacterial small subunit ribosomal RNA", at positions 353 to 772 of the family's 1533-position model. Lineage: Bacteria; Pseudomonadati; Pseudomonadota; Gammaproteobacteria; Lysobacterales; Lysobacteraceae. The record is from RNAcentral.
AGUAGGGAAUAUUGGACAAUGGGCGCAAGCCUGAUCCAGCCAUGCCGCGUGAGUGAAGAAGGCCCUCGGGUUGUAAAGCUCUUUUGUCCGGAAAGAAAAGCAUUCGGUUAAUACCCGAGUGUUCUGACGGUACCGGAAGAAUAAGCACCGGCUAACUUCGUGCCAGCAGCCGCGGUAAUACGAAGGGUGCAAGCGUUACUCGGAAUUACUGGGCGUAAAGCGUGCGUAGGUGGUUUGUUAAGUCUGAUGUGAAAGCCCUGGGCUCAACCUGGGAAUGGCAUUGGAUACUGGCAAGCUAGAGUGCGGUAGAGGAUAGUGGAAUUCCUGGUGUAGCAGUGAAAUGCGUAGAGAUCAGGAGGAACAUCCGUGGCGAAGGCGACUGUCUGGACCAGCACUGACACUGAGGCACGAAAGCGUGGGGAGCAAA